GGGGAUGUUUAGGAUUCGACAGGGAUGCUGAUUUAUUUAAUUGCACGUAAGAGAUUCCGCUCUUUAAAAACGGUACAGUUUAUAAUAACUGACAACAAUAAAUCAUUAGCUUUAGCGGCUUAAUUUGCUAAAGACUGAUUACCAGAUAUGACUGUGUUCUGGAUAAUCGGUUCAUUAAUUUACAGUCUAUAUCUAGAUUCUUCUGUUUGUAGAAUUUAGACUGAAUCUAAUCAAACUCGUUUUUUAUAGCUUGUUUGUCAGCUUAAAUAAAAAAUUAAAUUUAGUAGAUAAACUAAACGUGUAGAGGUUAGGUGAAGGUAUUCUUGGACGCGGGUUCAAAUCCCGCCAUCUCCAUUU
RNAcentral lists this transfer-messenger RNA (357 nucleotides) under Gemellaceae. RNAcentral's name for it is "Gemella sp004570485 Standard tmRNA". It matches the Rfam family "transfer-messenger RNA". From Rfam's summary of the family: Bacterial tmRNA, also known as 10Sa RNA or SsrA, is named for its dual tRNA and mRNA-like properties. Its role is to liberate the mRNA from a stalled ribosome. RNAcentral also lists the same sequence under 4 other names. Lineage: Bacteria; Bacillati; Bacillota; Bacilli; Caryophanales. The record is from RNAcentral.